GGAGAACAAUAUGGCGGAUGGCGAGGAGCCGGAGAAGAAAAGAAGGAGAAUAGAGGAGCUGCUGGCUGAGAAAAUGGCUGUUGAUGGUGGGUGUGGGGACACUGGAGACUGGGAAGGUCGCUGGAACCAUGUAAAGAAGUUCCUCGAGCGAUCUGGACCCUUCACACACCCUGAUUUCGAACCGAGCACUGAAGUGAGAAACAUUUAUUUUUAAAUAACUGCUCUAAUAGUUUUAUGUUUCAAAACUAAUAGAAUGCUUCUUUUUUAAUUUGCUCUUACAAUGAAAAUACUAAUAAAAUUGUUUUGUGAAACUAAAUUUUUCUUAAAAUAUGAGAUUGAAUAUUCACAACUGAUUUUGUUUGAAUGACUAUUUGAGUCUUAACAUUUCUCAUGUAAUAUAAGUUGAAAAUUUUUGUGAGAAAAAUCUAACUUCAUGACCUCAUGUAAAAAUUUAAAAUGCUUUCUGAAACAUACUCCCCUUUUGUAGUGCUACUGUGAGAAAUUAAUUUUGAUAGGAAUAUAGGUGUGCUUAUUUAAAUUUUGAAAUUUAGUUGGAAUGAACAUCUUAGCUUUGAGUAUAAUUAAUUGCAUGUUAAGAAUUAUGUAAGUACUAAAUAAUAGAGGCGUAGAAUUUUGGACUGAUAGUGUCUGACUUA
RNAcentral lists this small RNA (656 nucleotides) under Pan troglodytes (chimpanzee). RNAcentral's name for it is "retained intron". The record is from RNAcentral. Lineage: Eukaryota; Metazoa; Chordata; Mammalia; Primates; Hominidae.